GACGAACGCUGGCGGCGUGCUUAACACAUGCAAGUCGAACGAAGUGGCGAACGGGUGAGUAACGCGUAAUCAACCUGCCCUUCAGAGGGGGACAACAGUUGGAAACGACUGCUAAUACCGCAUACUGAAGGAGGGGAUUGCGUGUGAUUGGCUAGUUGGGGGGGUAACGGCCCACCAAGGCGAUGAUAAGUAGCCGGUCUGAGAGGGUGAACGGCCACAUUGGGACUGAGACCCGGCCCAGACUCCUACGGGAGGCAGCAGUUGGGAAUCUUCCGCAAUGGACGAAAGUCUGACGGAGCAACGCCGCGUGGUUGAUGACGGCCUUUGGGUUGUAAAGCUCUGUUAAUCGGGACGCGGUACCGGAAUAGAAAGCCACGGCUAACUACGUGCCAGCAGCCGCGGUAAUAC
This 408-nucleotide ribosomal RNA is filed under the name uncultured bacterium. RNAcentral describes it as "partial 16S ribosomal RNA". It matches the Rfam family "Bacterial small subunit ribosomal RNA", at positions 28 to 526 of the family's 1533-position model. The record is from RNAcentral.